This 253-nucleotide ribosomal RNA is filed under the name uncultured bacterium. Its description in RNAcentral is "partial 16S ribosomal RNA". It matches the Rfam family "Bacterial small subunit ribosomal RNA", at positions 524 to 776 of the family's 1533-position model. The record is from RNAcentral.
UACGUAGGUGGCAAGCGUUGUCCGGAUUUACUGGGCGUAAAGAGCGCGCAGGCGGUCGUGCAAGUCGCGUGUGAAAGCCCCCGGCUCAACUGGGGAGGGGCACGCGAUACUGAUCGACUCGAAGGCAGGAGAGGGUAGUGGAAUUCCCGGUGUAGUGGUGAAAUGCGUAGAUAUCGGGAGGAACACCAGUGGCGAAGGCGACUACCUGGCCUGUUCUUGACGCUGAGGCGCGAAAGCUAGGGGAGCAAACGGG